AGAAAAACGGGAGUAACUCCCCUCCAUUUCCUAGUCUCUCCGUUUAUCCAAGUUCCUACUUGGAUUAGAGACACUUGUCAUGAUUAAAAAUAAAUGGAUGAAAUUAAUAAAAUAAAGCCCUAACUAUGAUUAAAGUAUUUAAUUACUUCCUUUAUCCGUUCCUAAAUAAUAUAUUUUGUCUCGCUUAGCGCUAGAGCUUCCCAUAAUUUCUCCUUCUACGCGUCAAAUACAUCUGCUCCGAAGGAAACACCGAAAAUCAUGGUAGCGGAGAAAAUCUUUCAGAUUUUUACCAUGAAAAUCCAGUCCUUGAAGUUAAAAAUCAAUAGAGAAAAACACAAGUGGAAAAACAUAGAACAAGACAGCAAGUCGUGGAACUUCAUUUUUCUGGAAAUAACUGCUCUGAAAUUCUCGUCAGAUUUAUGGAGAUCCCAUCUCAAAAUGAACAUAUGGAUGUUUCUCAUUUAUUUGAGCCAACAAAACUUGGUAUGGAAUUUGAUUCAGAAGAACAUGCAUACGAAUACUACAACAAAUAUGCUGCUACAAUUGGGUUUAGUGUUAGAAAGGAAUAUGCAAACAAAAGUAAAGUCCACGGAUAUGUGACUUCGAGAAAAUUUACAAUUAUAAAGAAGGUUAUAGAGAAAGAGACAAGCGAGAAGCGAUGGUCAAGAAACCUAGAAAGGAAACUAGGACGGGUUGUUUAGCUCACAUGGUCGUAAGUCAUAAAUCAAAUGGGAAGUUUUCUGUCAUUUCAUUUGAAGAGAAGCACAAUCAUCCUCUCGUUCCUCCAUCUCUAGCUCACAUGCUGCCAUCGCAAAGAAAUAUUAAACUUUCUCAAGCAUAUGAAAUUGACUUAUUGGAUGAUUCAGGAAUAUGUCCUAAAUCAUCUUUUGACUAUGCUUCUCGUCUAGCUGGGGGAAAAGCUUCUUUAGGUUAUACAAAGAGGGAUCACAUAAACUAUCUUCGUGACAAAAGAAAAGAGAGUUUAAAGCAAGGAGUGGCUCGUAGUUUGGUCGAUUAUUUUGAAAAAAGAGUAAUAAAAGAUCCAUCUUUUCGAUUUUCUUUACAAUUGGAUGAUGAUGGUUUGAUAACAAAUGUUUUCUGGGCUGAUGCUAAAAUGAUAAGGGAUUUUCAGAUUUAUGGUGAUGUUGUAUCAUUUGACACAACAUAUAGAACAAAUAAGGAGUAUCGACCAUUGGCUUUGUUUGUUGGAUUAAAUAAUCACGGGGAAAUGGUUGUAUUUGGUGCUGCCCUUUUAUAUGAAGAAACAGCUGAAGCAUUUGAAUGGCUUUUUACUGUAUUUUUUAGAGCUAUGUCUGCAAAUAAGCCACAAACAUUCAUCACAGAUCAAGAUCCUGUAAUAUGUUUAGCAGUCUCAUUGGUGAUGCCACAAACAUAUCAUCGUCUAUGUAUAUGGCAAUUGGAACAAAAUGCAUUUAAACAUCUUAACCAUAUCUUUAGAGCUCAUAAAUCAUUUCCGAGUGAUUUUAGCAAAUUGCUUUAUUAUUACGAGUAUGAAGAUGAUUUUCUAAAUGCAUGGGAGGAAAUGCUUGAAAAAUACGACCUUAAGGAUAAUAGUUGGUCGAAAAACACCUUUGCUAUAAGGGAAAAGUGGUCCAUGACAUAUGGUAGAAAUAUAUUUUCAGCUGGUAUGCGAAGUACACAGUUGAGUGAAAGUUUCAAUGGAUCACUAAGGGGCUACCUGAAAUCAGAUUUAGAUAUUGUACAGUUCUUUAAGCAUUUUCAAAGAGUUGUUGAUGAUAAGCGUGCUAAUGAAAAUAAGUCAAAUUUUGACAUGACCCAACGAAUAUUUGUUUUAAAGGUUAAGCUUCCUUUAUUGAUCCAUGUGAGAGAAAUAUAUACUGCAACCAUAUUUGAUUUGUUCGAAAAGGAGUGGGAAAAGUCAUUACUUGUCUCUAUAAAUGGCUUUCAUGAUGAAGGAGAAUUAUGUAAAUACAAUGUUAGCACGCAUGGAAAUCGCAGAGAGCAUGUAGUAGCAGUGAAGUGCUCUACAAAAGUAGUCUCUUGCAGUUGCAAAUUGUUCGAAUUUUCGGGUGUACUAUGUGGACAUGCUCUAAAGAUUCUGGACACAUUAAAUGUCUAGGAUAAGAUUCCUGACCAUUAUAUAUUAAAAAGGUGGACAAAAGAUGUUACCAACUUGGUUGCAAUGGAGAUUAAAGUGUUUACUGAGGGAAGUGAUCCAAAAGUUGAAGUUAGUACAAGGUAUAGACAUUUAUGCCAAACUCUUGUCCAAAUUGCAAGUGAAGCUUCAGAAUCCAGAGAAGGAUAUGAGCUGGUUGCAGAGUAUUCCAACGAGAUAAUUGCAAAGUUAAAGGAAGUAAAAACAAAAAAUGAAUCUCAUGAAAGUCCACCAGUUCUAAGCAAAGUUCUCCAUGAUGAGACAAUAUCUGUUGACAGUGCAAAUGUCACAAAGGUGACAGGGUUAAAGAAGAAGCAACCAACUCGUCGCUCCAAUACUCUACCAAAGAGUUUUGUGGAAAAGACCAGGAAGAAGAAGAAUAAGAUUCAAUCGCCAAUAUCCCCUCCAUUGCAAAUUGUCCAACAUGUAAGUCACCUUGCAGGCCUCCAAGCACCAUGUCCGCCAUUGUCUAAUGCCACAACGAAUACGGGAUUGGGAGGAGGAAAUUCUUACCCAUGGUAUUCUUCAGAAUCAUCUCAGCUAACAUCUCAUGGAAGUCUAUCUCAACUCCUAAGAGAUAGUAUAAUUUAUUUUUGUGAUUUUAUGUCCUUAUUUUUUUAAAUAAUACUCUCAUAUGAAUUAUUUCACUUGCAGGAUAUUUCACUUGAUAAUUUAAACAAGUUCUCUCAAGGUUGAUCGCCAAUAUCAUGAAAGAACAAAGGUUGCAUAGCAAUAUAACUUGCAUUGUCACCACAAAGAUGAUUUCAGAACUUCUAUUUGUUCCAAAACAAUCAGUGACUGUUUCCAGCUUUGGAGUGUAGUUUAUAAAUGCUUCCAUAUUGAAAAAUAAGAUUCUCUGUUAUGACAAAGAUCAAUAUUGAAAAAUAUGAUUCUCUGUUGGUGAAUUUAUCUUGCCGCGCUCUUUCAUUACUGAA
Nicotiana tabacum (common tobacco) is the source of this 3072-nucleotide non-coding RNA. NCBI's taxonomy places the organism in Eukaryota, Viridiplantae, Streptophyta, Magnoliopsida, Solanales, Solanaceae. The record is from RefSeq and is a predicted model, not a curated record.